RNAcentral lists this ribosomal RNA (615 nucleotides) under uncultured bacterium. RNAcentral's name for it is "bacterial SSU rRNA". It matches the Rfam family "Bacterial small subunit ribosomal RNA", at positions 338 to 959 of the family's 1533-position model. The record is from RNAcentral.
CCUACGGGAGGCAGCAGUAAGGAAUAUUGGUCAAUGGAGGCAACUCUGAACCAGCCAUGCCGCGUGCAGGAUGACGGCCCUAUGGGUUGUAAACUGCUUUUAUACAAGAGAAAACCCUGGUACGUGUACCAGGUUGAUAGUAUUGUAAGAAUAAGCAUCGGCUAACUUCGUGCCAGCAGCCGCGGUAAGACGAAGGAUGCAAGCGUUAUCCGGAUUCAUUGGGUUUAAAGGGUGCGUAGGCGGACUGAUAAGUCAGUGGUGAAAUCUCUUUGCUUAACAAAGAAACUGCCAUUGAUACUGUCGGUCUAGAGUAUAGAUGACGUUGGCGGAAUAUGACAUGUAGUGGUGAAAUACUUAGAUAUGUCAUAGAACACCGAUUGCGAAGGCAGCUAACGAAACUAUAACUGACGCUGAGGCACGAAAGUGCGGGGAUCAAACAGGAUUAGAUACCCUGGUAGUCCGCACCGUAAACGAUGAUUACUCGUUGUUGGCGAUAUGACAGUCAGCGACCAAGCGAAAGCGAUAAGUAAUCCACCUGGGGAGUACGCCGGNAACGGUGAAACUCAAAGGAAUUGACGGCGNGAGAGNGCGACGGACGACGACGAGGGGAGGAGG